UGACUCAAACCCAAGAUGGGAAAGGAAAAGAUUCACAUCAACAUCAUCGUCAUUGGACAUGGAGAUUCCGGCAAGUCUACCACGACUGGCCAUCUGAUGUACAAAUGUGGUGGGAUCGACAAAAGAACCAUCAAGAAAUAUGAGAAGGAGGCUGCCCAGAUCGGGAAGGGCUCCUUCAAGUAUGCCUGGGUCUUGGAUAAACUGAAAGCUGAAUGUGAGUCAGGUAUCACCAUUGAUAUUUCCCUGUGGAAAUUCAAGACCAGCAAGUAUUAUGACCAUCAUUGAUGCCCCAGGGCACAGAGACCUCAUAAAAAAACAUGAUUACAGGCACAUCUCAGGCUGCCUGUGCUGUCCUGAUUGUUGCUGCUGGUGUUGGUGAAUUUGAAGCAGGCAUCUCCAAGAAUGGGCAGACCCGUGAGCAUGCCCUUCUGGCCUACACACUGGGUGUGAAACAGCUGAUUGCUGGUGUUAACAAAAUGGAUUCCACUGAGCCACCCUACAGCCAGAAAAGAUACNAAAAUAUAUUUAAAAAAAAGAAAAAGAAAAUUGGCUACAACCUUGACACAGUAGCAUUUGUGCCGAUUUCUGGUUGGAAUGGUGACAACAUGCUGGAGCCAAGUGCUAAUGUGCCUUGGUUCAAGGGAUGGAAGGUCACCCGUAAAGAUGGCAAUGCCAGUGGAACCACACUGCUUGAAGCUCGGGAUUGCAUCCUGCCACCAACUCGUCCAACUGACAAGCCCCUGCGUCUGCCCCUCCAGGAUGUCUACAAAAUUGGCGGCAUUGGUACAGUCCCUGUGGGCCGAGUGGAGACUGGUGUUCUCAAGCCUGGCAUGGUGGUCACCUUUGCUCCAGUCAAUGUUACAACUGAAGUGAAGCCUGUUGAAAUGCACCAUGAAGCCGUGAGUGAAGCUCUUCCUGGGGACAAUGUGGGCUUCAACGUCAAGAACGUGUCUGUCAAAGAUGUUCGCCGUGGCAAUGUGGCUGGUGACAGCAAAAAUGAUCCACCAAUGGAAGCAGCUGGCUUCACAGCUCAGGUGAUUAUCCUGAACCAUCCAGGCCAAAUCAGUGCUGGAUAUUCACCUGCAUUGAACUGUCACACAGCUCACAUUACUUACAAGUGUAUUAAGCUAAAGGAGAAGACUGAUUAUUGUUCUGGGAAAAAUCGAGAAGAUGGCGCUAAGUUUUUGAAAUUUGCCGAAACCGAUGGCCCCAAGUUUUUGAAAUCUGGUGAUGCUGCCAUCGUUGAUAUGAUUCCUGGCAAGCCCAGGUGUGUUGAGAGCUGCUCUGACUACCCUCCUCCGGGCCGUUUCGCUGUUCGUGACAUGAGACAGACAGUUGCUGGGGGUGUCAUCAAAGCCGUGGCUGAGAAGGCAGCUGGAGCUGGCAAAGUCACCAGGUCGGCCCAGAAGCUCAGAAGGUAA
RNA transcript from Myotis brandtii (Brandt's bat), 1421 nucleotides. It is a transcript of the gene named elongation factor 1-alpha 1 pseudogene, with no coding region annotated. Lineage: Eukaryota; Metazoa; Chordata; Mammalia; Chiroptera; Vespertilionidae. The transcript is spliced from 3 exons. The record is from RefSeq and is a predicted model, not a curated record.